RNAcentral lists this ribosomal RNA (460 nucleotides) under uncultured bacterium. RNAcentral's name for it is "partial 16S ribosomal RNA". It matches the Rfam family "Bacterial small subunit ribosomal RNA", at positions 338 to 795 of the family's 1533-position model. The record is from RNAcentral.
CCUACGGGUGGCAGCAGUGAGGAAUAUUGGUCAAUGGCCGGAAGGCUGAACCAGCCAUGCCGCGUGAAGGUCAGUGCCCUAUGGGCGUUAAACUUCUUUUGUGCGGGAGCAAUAAUGGUCACGUGUGGCCAGACGAGAGUACCGUACGAAUAAGCAUCGGCUAACUCCGUGCCAGCAGCCGCGGUAAUACGGGGGAUGCAAGCGUUAUCCGGAUUUAUUGGGUUUAAAGGGUGCGUAGGCUUUGAGGUAAGUCAGCGGGGAAAUGCCCCCGCUCAACGGGGUGAAGUGCCAUUGAUACUGCCUUGCUGGAAUGCGGAUGCCGUGGGAGGAAUGUGUGGUGUAGCGGUGAAAUGCAUAGAUAUCACACAGAACACCGAUUGCGAAGGCAUCUCACGAAUCCGCGAUUGACACUGAUGCACGAAAGCGUGGGGAUCGAACAGGAUUAGAUACCCGAGUAGUC